Molecule: long non-coding RNA, 1173 nt
Filed under: Glycine max (soybean)
Lineage: Eukaryota; Viridiplantae; Streptophyta; Magnoliopsida; Fabales; Fabaceae
Description: long non-coding RNA (GMAX_LNC000150)
Source: RNAcentral
UUAAACUUCUUAUUCUACUUAAUAUGAGGCUCAAAACAAGUAAGUACCCAAAGCAAGGUCUGUAUAGCAGAAAAAAAGAAAUAAAUAGUUAAUGAUAUUAUCGUCAAGCAUCCUAGCUACUAGAUAAAGAUUUAGGCAACAAGACCAUAAAAGAAAAAAAAUGAAAAAGAAAAGAAACUCAUGGGACCCUCAGCGCAAUGAGUUGUGUAAUCUGAUAGUACCCCUCUUGCGGAUAGUCUAUAUUGCACUCCAACCAGCUAGAAUGCAUAUCAGUUGUCGCUUCCAUGACAGCAAUAUAGAUGCUGAUAAGAACCGGAAAAUCAUAUUUGCAUGUGAAGCAUAACAGAGAGAUUUUGAGGUGGAAUUGAGGUCCCUUUUUGAGAGCAAAAUUGAAUGGCUUAUAAAGAAGGAUAGAAAAUAUGACCUGCCGCCUCUCUCAUUCACUCAUGAAUGACAUUGCUGAGUGAAGAUUUGAUCCUCUAUAUCAUCAUUAACCAGCUCUAGCUCUGACGAUUCCCACUUGGAUUUGUUGUCUUUAUCCAUCAACUUUGCUCAACAAAAGAGUCAGCUAGAUUUGAACGAGAAAUUAUUAGAUGAUCCUGAACCAUCAUAAUCCUUAUUAAUCUUUACAUGAUAUCAAUUCCCACUUGAGUUUGUUGUCUUUAUCUGUCAACUUUGCUCAACAAAAGAUCCGGUUAGAUUUGAAUGAGAAAUUAUUAAAUGAUCCUGAAUCAUCAUGAUUCCUAUUAAUCUUUAUAUGAUAUAUGACCAUUGAUAUAAUGAUUCCAGAGCUAGAGUGUCUUUGAGUGUUUCGAUGAUUGAUACAAUUUUUAAAACAUUAAAUAUAAACAUUGGUUGAGACUAUAAAUAGAUGGUGGUCUAAGACUACCUGAUAAUUUCUCAAAUUGAACAGCAUAAUCCAGCCACUAUUGGUUAAUGCUUUAUGGUGCAAGUGUGCAACCUCCAACAAUUAGUAGCAGACAUGAUAAUUAACAAACUGGAAAGAAGGAUGUCAGAGCCUCAGGAACAUAUUUUGCAGUUAGAUACUAUGCAGUGAGAGCAAUGAGCAAACAACCGUGUACUCAGCAACAUGUUGACCAAAUAAAAAUAAGCCCUAAGCCUACCUGAACAAAUCACUACAGAAACCUACUACUAGGCCAUGACCAAAACACC